GACCUGAGAGGGUGAUCGGCCACACUGGGACUGAGACACGGCCCAGACUCCUACGGGAGGCAGCAGUAGGGAAUCUUCCGCAAUGGACGAAAGUCUGACGGAGCAACGCCGCGUGAGUGAUGAAGGUUUUCGGAUCGUAAAGCUCUGUUGUUAGGGAAGAACAAGUGCAAGAGUAACUGCUUGCACCUUGACGGUACCUAACCAGAAAGCCACGGCUAACUACGUGCCAGCAGCCGCGGUAAUACGUAGGUGGCAAGCGUUGUCUGGAAUUAUUGGGCGUAAAGGGCUCGCAGGCGGUUUCUUAAGUCUGAUGUGAAAGCCCCCGGCUCAACCGGGGAGGGUCAUUGGAAACUG
RNAcentral lists this ribosomal RNA (354 nucleotides) under bacterium LimB-10-A-344. Its description in RNAcentral is "bacterial SSU rRNA". It matches the Rfam family "Bacterial small subunit ribosomal RNA", at positions 289 to 635 of the family's 1533-position model. The record is from RNAcentral.